RNAcentral lists this ribosomal RNA (492 nucleotides) under uncultured bacterium. RNAcentral describes it as "partial 16S ribosomal RNA". It matches the Rfam family "Bacterial small subunit ribosomal RNA", at positions 29 to 507 of the family's 1533-position model. The record is from RNAcentral.
AGUGAACGCUGGCGGUAGGCCUAACACAUGCAAGUCGAACGGCAGCACAGUAAGAGCUUGCUCUUACGGGUGGCGAGUGGCGGACGGGUGAGGAAUACAUCGGAAUCUACUUUUUCGUGGGGGAUAAUGUAGGGAAACUUACGCUCAUACCGCAUACGACCUACGGGUGAAAGCAGGGGAUCUUCGGACCUUGCGCGAUUGAAUGAGCCGAUGUCGGAUUAGCUAGUUGGCCGGGUAAAGGCCCACCAAGGCGACGAUCCGUAGCUGGUCUGAGAGGAUGAUCGGCCACACUGGAACUGAGACACGGUCCAGACUCCUACGGGAGGCAGCAGUGGGGAAUAUUGGACAAUGGGCGCAAGCCUGAUCCAGCCAUACCGCGUGGGUGAAGAAGGCCUUCGGGUUGUAAAGCCCUUUUGUUGGGAAAGAAAAGCAGCAGGUUAAUACCCCGCUGUUCUGACGGUACCCAAAGAAUAAGCACCGGCUAACUUCGUG